RNAcentral lists this transfer RNA (77 nucleotides) under Spirochaetia bacterium. RNAcentral's name for it is "tRNA-Arg". It matches the Rfam family "tRNA". From Rfam's summary of the family: Transfer RNA (tRNA) molecules are approximately 80 nucleotides in length. Their secondary structure includes four short double-helical elements and three loops (D, anti-codon, and T loops). Lineage: Bacteria; Pseudomonadati; Spirochaetota; Spirochaetia. The record is from RNAcentral.
UGCGACACUAGCUCACCUGGAUAGAGCAUCAGCCUUCUAAGCUGAGGGUAGUGGGUUCGAGUCCCGCGUGUCGCGUC